CCUACGGGGCGCAGCAGUGGGGGAUAUUGCACAAUGGAGGAAACUCUGAUGCAGCGACGCCGCGUGAGGGAAGACGGUCUUCGGAUUGUAAACCUCUGUCUUUGGGGAAGAAAAUGACGGUACCCAAAGAGGAAGCUCCGGCUAACUACGUGCCAGCAGCCGCGGUAAUACGUAGGGAGCGAGCGUUGUCCGGAAUUACUGGGUGUAAAGGGUGAGUAGGCGGCAUGGUAAGCCAGAU
RNAcentral lists this ribosomal RNA (238 nucleotides) under uncultured bacterium. RNAcentral's name for it is "partial 16S ribosomal RNA". It matches the Rfam family "Bacterial small subunit ribosomal RNA", at positions 338 to 593 of the family's 1533-position model. The record is from RNAcentral.